Non-coding RNA from Vicia faba (fava bean), 252 nucleotides. Lineage: Eukaryota; Viridiplantae; Streptophyta; Magnoliopsida; Fabales; Fabaceae. The record is from the annotation of a GenBank genome assembly.
AUGAUAGUUGAGGAGAUUCCGAAUAGCCCAAAACAACAUGCAUGUGUGUGGAAACGAUCUGCCCAAGGAUCUGUUGCGCGCAAAGUUGUUAAGGGUAAGAGGAAGGUGGAUGCAAAAGAUGGAUGUCAACUAUCAAAGGCAAAAAAGAAGGCAAAGAAAUCCAUAGGUGAUUCUGCAGCUGGAUCCUCAGGUUUGGAAGCACGUUGUGAGAGGUUGAGGGUUUCUAUUGGAAUGACUGUAACUGUAGAGUAG